Molecule: long non-coding RNA, 650 nt
Organism: Chiroxiphia lanceolata (lance-tailed manakin)
Lineage: Eukaryota; Metazoa; Chordata; Aves; Passeriformes; Pipridae
Exons: 5
Source: RefSeq, a predicted model, not a curated record
UCCACAGUUUCUCUGAGCAACCUGUGCCAGUCAAGUGUUGGCUUCAAAUGCUGUCAUAGCUAAAGCGGAUGGUGAACUGUGGGACCUGUAUUGUCCACUGGAGGGAGAUUGUACUCUAAAGCUGCUGACCUUUGAUCAUGAAGAAGCAAAAGCUGUUUAUUGACAUUCAAGUGGUCACAUUCUUGGAGAGGCCAUGGAAGGAUAUUUUGGGGGCUGCUUAUGUUAUGGACCAUCAACUGAGAAUGGAUUUUAUUUUGACAUAUAUAUUGAAGAGGUGUAUCUAGUACUGAACUCCCACUACUAGAGAACUGCUGUAAAAAUAUCAUAAAAGUGAAACAGGCUUUUGAAAGGCUGGAAGUCAACAAGGAGACCCUGUUAGACAUGUUUAAGUAUAACUUUUAACUGUCAUAUGCCUAAUGAGAAGGUGAAGACACCAACUACCCCAAUAUACAGGUACAGAAAUAUGCUUCUAAGAUAUUGUAUUUUUAUAGUUUAUUUAAAUUGAGACAGGAAUAAAUUGGUUUUUUGUUUUAGGGUUUUUUUAUUUUUAUUCUAACUUCCAAAUUCUUGUGUGAUUGGGACUUAGGUUUGCAAUUAAUAUUGCUACUUUUGUAAAACGAGGUAUUUUCUUUCUCUUGGGACAGAUUAGG